Molecule: transfer RNA, 76 nt
Filed under: Thermochromatium tepidum ATCC 43061
Lineage: Bacteria; Pseudomonadati; Pseudomonadota; Gammaproteobacteria; Chromatiales; Chromatiaceae
Description: tRNA-Ile
Rfam family: tRNA
About the family: Transfer RNA (tRNA) molecules are approximately 80 nucleotides in length. Their secondary structure includes four short double-helical elements and three loops (D, anti-codon, and T loops).
Source: RNAcentral
GGGCCGUUAGCACAGCGGUGAGUGCGGGGGACUCAUAAUCCCUUGGUCGUAGGUUCGAAUCCUACACGGCCCACCA